This 64-nucleotide transfer RNA is filed under the name Eisenia nordenskioldi. RNAcentral describes it as "tRNA-Ala". Lineage: Eukaryota; Metazoa; Annelida; Clitellata; Crassiclitellata; Lumbricidae. The record is from RNAcentral.
UGCAGCUUAGUUUAUUUAGAAUCGUUAACUUGCACUUAACAUGAGAGAGAAUUCUCAGUUGCGG